GCCGCCGCGGUCCGCCCCGGGCACGGCGUCCGGCUCAGCGCCGGGCACGGCGUCCGGUUCCGCGCCGGGCGGCGGCAC
RNAcentral lists this transfer RNA (78 nucleotides) under Streptomyces sp. TS71-3. RNAcentral describes it as "tRNA-Leu". Lineage: Bacteria; Bacillati; Actinomycetota; Actinomycetes; Kitasatosporales; Streptomycetaceae. The record is from RNAcentral.